UGUGGGAGCGAGCCUGCUCGCGAUAGCGGUAUGUCAGUCGACACUAUUAUUGACUGAUGCACCGCAAUCGCGAGCAGGCUCGCUCCCACA
This 90-nucleotide unclassified non-coding RNA is filed under the name Pseudomonas sp. NFACC45. Lineage: Bacteria; Pseudomonadati; Pseudomonadota; Gammaproteobacteria; Pseudomonadales; Pseudomonadaceae. The record is from RNAcentral.